GGACAGUGGAGCUAUACGCAGCCCUGUCCUGAUGCUCGUGAGUGUCUUGCUAACUCUCCAGACUCCUUAAGUCUGGAGGAAUUUACACCUGCUGUGAUGGAUGUCUCGACUUCAUAUAUGUUGUUUUACCUUUGAAUGAAUAGCUUCAUGCUGGAUGUCCUUCCUCCUGAGCAUAAAGUCCCUAUUCCGGUUUACUCCGUAUAUAUGAGCUUGGAAUCGGGCAUUGAGAGAAUUAAGGUUGUCAUUAAAAAAAAACUUACCUGACCCUUGCCUGGAGAUGUACAUGUAUGAAGGUAUGGGAGAUACCUGCUGCAGUCCCUUCUACUUACAUUUGGGAGGUACGGUUGUUUGGGGGAAUCAGCAGCAAAUAUUAAAUGAUACAUUGGC
This is a long non-coding RNA of Pseudophryne corroboree (corroboree frog), 387 nucleotides long. RefSeq lists it as uncharacterized. NCBI's taxonomy places the organism in Eukaryota, Metazoa, Chordata, Amphibia, Anura, Myobatrachidae. The record is from RefSeq and is a predicted model, not a curated record. The transcript is spliced from 4 exons.